UAUGUACUCCCUCCAUUCGUAAUUACUUGUCGCAGAAAUGGAUGUAUCUAGAUGUAUUUUAGUUGUAGAUACAUCCAUUUUCGAGACAAGUAAUUCCGAACGGAGGAAGUAAUAG
Non-coding RNA from Triticum urartu, 115 nucleotides. Lineage: Eukaryota; Viridiplantae; Streptophyta; Magnoliopsida; Poales; Poaceae. The record is from Rfam.